GUGGGGAAUAUUGGACAAUGGGGGGAACCCUGAUCCAGCCAUGCCGCGUGUGUGAAGAAGGCCUUUUGGUUGUAAAGCACUUUAAGCGAGGAGGAGGCUACCGAGAUUAAUACUCUUGGAUAGUGGACGUUACUCGCAGAAUAAGCACCGGCUAACUCUGUGCCAGCAGCCGCGGUAAUACAGAGGGUGCAAGCGUUAAUCGGAUUUACUGGGCGUAAAGCGCGCGUAGGUGGCAAAUUAAGUCAAAUGUGAAAUCCCCGAGCUUAACUUGGGAAUUGCAUUCGAUACUGGUUGGCUAGAGUAUGGGAGAGGAUGGUAGAAUUCCAGGUGUAGCGGUGAAAUGCGUAGAGAUCUGGAGGAAUACCGAUGGCGAAGGCAGCCAUCUGGCCUAAUACUGACACUGAGGUGCGAAAGCAUGGGGAGCAAACAGGAUUAGAAACCCUGGUAGUCC
This 451-nucleotide ribosomal RNA is filed under the name uncultured bacterium. RNAcentral describes it as "partial 16S ribosomal RNA". It matches the Rfam family "Bacterial small subunit ribosomal RNA", at positions 354 to 796 of the family's 1533-position model. The record is from RNAcentral.